CACGGAGAGGGCGAGCGUUGUUCGGAAUCACUGGGCGUAAAGGGCGCGUAGGCGGCUUAACAAGUCGACUGUGAAAUCUUAGGGCUUAACCGUAAGACUGCAGUCGAAACUGUUAAACUUGAGCACAGGAGGGGAGAACGGAAUUCCGGGUGUAUGGGUGGAAUCAGUAGAUAUCCGGAAGAACACCAGAGGCGAAGGCGGUUCUCUGGCCUGUUGCUGACGCUGAGGUCGCGAAAGCUAGGGGAGCAAAUGGGAUUAGAUACCCCCGUA
This 270-nucleotide ribosomal RNA is filed under the name uncultured prokaryote. Its description in RNAcentral is "partial 16S ribosomal RNA". It matches the Rfam family "Bacterial small subunit ribosomal RNA", at positions 524 to 792 of the family's 1533-position model. The record is from RNAcentral.